GAGGAGUACUAAGAGUGGGCAUCCUUGUCUUGUUCCCAUUCUCAGAGGGAAUGCUUUCAACUUUUCCCCAUUCAGUAUUAUGUUGGCUGUGGGUUUGUCAUAGAUGGCUUUUGUUACAUUAAGACUGGAAAAGAAUGGCCCAGAUCCUCUGGACUCCUCAGAUGAGCGGAUUCAGAGAGAAGCUUUUGAGAGCGUGCUGGCGGAGACAUUUUUCACAAAAGAGCCCUUGCGGUGCUGGUGUCCGUGGCGUGCCUGGGUGGAAAAUGAGCUUAUAUAUGAAGAAGUCAGCGAGUGGACAAAGCCAGGCGCAAUGGAUAGCAAAGAUGUGGAAGUCUCCUCGAUUCAAGUUACAAGAAAACCGCAGCAUGGAGUCUGCUCUCAGCUGUUGGGGAAUUACCGAUGCCUUUGACUAAGUCAAGACUGACUUUUCCAGAAUAUCACCCAAGAGAUAGAGCCGUCCCUGUCCAAGUUUGUGCGCUAGCCCUUCAUGGAGGUCAGAGAGGAAGAAACAAAGGCAGCUGUGGCCUCGGCGGUCACAGUGUCAGAACGCACAAGCCCCAUAAAGAGGUUUCACGCAGGCCACCCAUCCCUUUUCAUUCUCCAGCAGAACAGGACAGAGAGCGUUCUGUUCUGCGGAAGGUCUUCCACUCUACAAGGCAAUCCCUCCAGCUGCUUUGCUGUAUUGUGCUGUCUCCUGUCACACUAUGAAUGCAGUGACCUCAGCCAGCAACAGGGAGAACCCCCCUGCCUCCCGAACAAAGGACCUCACGUGAAAUCCUGAGCUCAGAGCUUACAGAUAUGUGUGCGCUUUCACUUUACAUCGGCCGUGACUUCCAAACAACUUCAGGAAACUUUAGGAUCUCUGAGGUAUACUGGAGAUGACAGCAGCGUAGAAUGUUCAUUUGGAUUUAGAACAGAAAUGCUUAUUUUAUAUUUGGCUGCUCCCAAACUGUCCCCAGACUUCCUCUCCAGUGGUUACCCUCCACUGCCCUGGAUGUCCCACGUUUACACUCCACACUCACACCUCCACCUUAACAAAGUCCUCCACUGGGUCAAACCAUACAUCGCUUCGUCUCUGUAGUGAUGACUUCCUGUCCUCUGCUCUGUGGAUAAAGACCCCAGAUAAAGAUGCCUGUGUUGCUCAACUCUUGUAAAUACUCUUGAGACAUUUUGAAAGCAGAAGGAAAGGAGACAGACGGGGAAAAUAAAAGGGAUGGUCUGCUUGUGCGGAAACGUUUUGAGAAUGCCCUUCCCUAAGAGAGAACAGUAAAAGUGAGCAAUACUUCCUGAGCUGUGGGUUCAUAUGGCUGGACUGUGCUGUUUCUCACGGGAGAAGUUCUCGUCUCCCCUGCGUGUACAUCCCUGUUUGCCAGCCUGGCCUUCGGUGUGGUGAUAUCAUGGUGCACUCCCAGGAGGGAAGUGCUUGGUCAAGACUUCUGCUUGGGUUCGACUAUCAGUUCUGGUUUCCUUUAAGGCACAGGAUCUUCCCUUUAAGGCACAAACACCCCCUUGACACAAAGUAAGGGACAAGGGAACUUUAAACCAUUUGGAAACCCAAGCACAAUAGGCUGUAGGUUGUAAAAAGAAAUUACAAAGGUAAUUUUAUCCAGAAGAGGGAGCAGUUUAACUUCUGCAGGGUAAGAUUCAGAUUCACU
This 1655-nucleotide long non-coding RNA is filed under the name Homo sapiens (human). RNAcentral describes it as "PREDICTED lncRNA (TCONS_00228697)". The record is from RNAcentral. Lineage: Eukaryota; Metazoa; Chordata; Mammalia; Primates; Hominidae.